This 468-nucleotide ribosomal RNA is filed under the name uncultured bacterium. RNAcentral describes it as "partial 16S ribosomal RNA". It matches the Rfam family "Bacterial small subunit ribosomal RNA", at positions 28 to 507 of the family's 1533-position model. The record is from RNAcentral.
GACGAACGCUGGCGGCGUGCUUAACACAUGCAAGUCGAACGGAAAGGCCCUGCUUUUGUGGUGUGCUCGAGUGGCGAACGGGUGAGUAACACGUGAGUAACCUGCCCUUGACUUUGGGAUAACUUCAGGAAACUGGGGCUAAUACCGGAUAGGAGCUCCUGCUGCAUGGUGGGGGUUGGAAAGUUUCGGCGGUUGGGGAUGGACUCGCGGCUUAUCAGCUUGUUGGUGGGGUAGUGGCUUACCAAGGCUUUGACGGGUAGCCGGCCUGAGAGGGUGACCGGCCACAUUGGGACUGAGAUACGGCCCAGACUCCUACGGGAGGCAGCAGUGGGGAAUAUUGCACAAUGGGCGGAAGCCUGAUGCAGAAACGCCGCGUGCGGGAUGACGGCCUUCGGGUUGUAAACCGCUUUCGCCUGUGACGAAGCGUGAGUGACGGUAAUGGGUAAAGAAGCACCGGCUAACUACGUG